AUAAUGUUUAAUUUUAGUCGAUGCCCUGUAUCCGGGUGCGUUUUAGUUAGACGAGCGUCUUUUAAUCGAUUGAGCCGAUAUUUUGUAUGUGAUUAGAGUCACUAUCCAUGUACUAGUCACCUACAGAAAAUCAGCUGAAUUGGUUGGAUGAAAGUUGAGAAAUAGCGGUGGGUGGACUCCAGCUUCUUACAGGAGCUUCCUUUAGGAAUUUAUUUUAACUAGCCCGUCGUUACGCUCCUCAAAAUUAAAAAAAAAAAACAGUCCUGAGUUGUUAUGCCUCCGGAUACCCUAAUUGGAGUUUUUUUUAUUCUAGAGCGUAUUCUGAUUUUUACAUCAGGACGUAGCCUCUCGGUAGUUCGGUGAUUUCCCGGUCGGCGAAUUAACCUCCGCGCCCCACCACGAAAGACUAAACAAUAUACACCAUUUUGCAAUCAUCUCGACCACAAUUGGCUGCGUCCCUUCUCGUUACUUACAUCGAACCCAGUCCCCAGUUCACCCCUAUUCCCGUUUUCGAUCAAAACGGAUUUGUAUGCGGAAUCCAGUUCGAUCGAAAAAGGCAAUAGUUGGGUGGUUGGUUCCUUACUUCUUCGAAAUUUUCUGUGUGAUUUUCAUCAAUUUUGCCGACAAUUAUAAUACAAUUUCCAUCUUUCUUUUCUGCUUUUGACUAUCUCCCCUCAGUAAAAAUAAAAAAUAACCUCUACCGCCAGAGCCUGUACCCCAAGCACACCCGAACCUACCACAAUAUGUGCAACCCCAACCGCAGGAGCAUGCACGACGGCAAAUUUGUCUGGCAGAAUUACAAUAGCUACAAACCCUAACUUCGGAAACUUCUUGGCAAAAUGGAUUUUGCUGUUCACACUGAAACUGAAACUAAUGUUCGCAAAUCGAA
Ochlerotatus camptorhynchus is the source of this 889-nucleotide long non-coding RNA. RefSeq lists it as uncharacterized. NCBI's taxonomy places the organism in Eukaryota, Metazoa, Arthropoda, Insecta, Diptera, Culicidae. The transcript has 2 exons. The record is from RefSeq and is a predicted model, not a curated record.